Molecule: ribosomal RNA, 398 nt
Filed under: uncultured bacterium
Lineage: Bacteria
Description: partial 16S ribosomal RNA
Rfam family: Bacterial small subunit ribosomal RNA
Source: RNAcentral
AAUAUUGCGCUAUGGGGGAAACCCUGACACAGCGACGCCGCGUGAACGGUGGAGGCCUUCGGGUCGUAAAGUUCUGUCCUCAGGCAAGAAUAAAUUACGGUACCUGAGGAGGAAGCCACGUCUCACUACGUGCAAGCAGCGGCGGUAAUACGUAGGGGGCAAGCGUUGUCCGGUAUUAUUGGGCGUAAAGGGUGCGUAGGCGGCCUUUUAAGUCCGAUGUGAAAAACCACAGCUUAACUGUGGGAUUGCAUUUGAAACUGAAGGGCUUGAGUGUCGGAGAGGGUAGUGGAAUUUCCGGAGUAGCGGUGAAAUGCGUAGAUAUCGGGAGGAACACCAGUGGCGAAGGCGACUACCUGGACGACGACUGACGCUGAGGCACGAAAGCUAGGGGAGCAAAC